UCCUGCAAAAGAAGAAGAGUGAGAGAGAAGGACUGAGAGAAGGUUUGAGAGAGAGAGAACGGAUUUGCCGGAGUUUUCGUCGGAGAGUUGCCUAUAGAAUCCAUUCCCUACUAAGACCUGUACUCUGGAGCCCUUCUUAGAGUGAAGUAAGAACUCGUGUGGAGAUUUCCUCCUCUUGCCUCAAGAUCAGAAACAAAAAAAAAAAACCCAAGGGAAGAUUCGCCACUGAUCUUGGUGAGGAAAACGGACGAAACGACGAGAUCGGAGAGACUACCCAAGAACGGAGGGAGAAGCCGCCGGCGUACCACGUGGCAACCAGCUAGAGGGCCGCGUGCGCCAAUCGCCUCUGGACACGCGUCAAGCGUCGCCUGGGAAAACGCGGCUCCAGCUCUCCUGCGACACGCGUCCCUGGCUUCGCGACCCGACCCGUGCUCCUUGGCUGACCCGAUACCCGCACGGCGAACGGAAUCAAGCCGACGACCCGCGGUCCACCCGAAUCACUGCUUUCGACUCGAACCCGCGACCCGCGACUGCAGAAAUCUCUGGGCGCGUGACAUUCGCGCGUGGGAUCUGCGAGUGGCUGCUCCCCGGCGUGUGACUGGCGCGUGGAGGCGCGUGACCUAAUUGAGGAAAAAUCACCCUCUUUCGAUACGCCAAGUGUGUGGAAACGCUACGUAAGGGCACGUAGCAUCUAGGUAAGUCACCACACGGAAUUUAGGAAGUAAUACUUGUAGGAACCGCUUGGGAUGCAUGCAUGCUAGUUUGAAUUACCUUAGGUUGUAGCUUUCCGUAAUGAUCUUGGGAAAUAGAUUAUUGAAAGUAAGAUGUAUGCUGUGAUUUGUUAUGAGAGUUACUUGGAUACUGCUUAUAUGCUUUUAAUUCCCAUUUUUUUUUAUGCAUAUGUACAUCUUUUUGCUGAAGGGAGGAUGUGAAAUUGCGAACUCUGUGCUCCGGGAGUUGAUGGAUGUUAUCACCCCGUCGAGCUUGUAUGAUUACUUUGCAUGAAAUGUGUUUGAGGAUUUUGGAUAAUAGUUAUGUACGUACUCAGUUAUUUUCAUGGUCACCUUUAUGAAUAAGACUAGAGGACUAUGGUUAGAGCGACAAGCCACCAAGGGAUAGACUUAACCUUUUCCUAUUAGUUUAACAGACCAUCACGGCACAUGAAACAUCCUUAGAGUACCCUUAGGCUGCUUGUGUGUGGAUGGUGAUAUAGCUUCGUGGGGGACCAGCGGGUUCCUGAUCAGGACUCGACUGCUCGAUAGCCGUUUAGUAUGGGAAACGGGAUACCCACGUCGUAAUUGACCGUUUAGCUGGAUGGAAUAGGGGAGGUAGCUCUCCCAAAUACAGGGGGAUUAUCAUGGGUCUAGGGGGUUGCAGCUCACUUCCUAGGUGAGACCCUAGGUAAUCUCAUACCCAUGCCGAGGUAGCCACUCGCAAGGCACCAGUCCAACACAGGUUAGCAUAAAAGGAACUCUAUGGGUUUAAAUAAAAGGUCUAAGAACCAAAGAAGUCCGAAGGGACAAGUUCCAAGAGGGUAAGCCCUAAUGAGGUAAGGCCAGAUUAAGUUGUUCUAGAGCCAAAGGAAAGUCCGUGAUCGUUUGCUAAGUUUAGGGUGCGAUAAGAGCCUACAAGUAGGUGGCUUACUGAGUAUAAUUUUUAUACUCAUUCCUGUUAUACCCUUUUUUUUUCUUCAGGUACGUGAGGCGUCGAGUCAAGAGAGGGCGCGUCGAUCGAUGUGGGUUGUCACAGAGGAAGCGUGUCCCGGGGCGUCAGUCUAGUAUAUUGAAUAGUUCACUUGACCUUAAUGUUUCUUUUCUUGUUUUUACCUAGGCACUUAUGUCCUUUUAAUAAAGAUACGUUUUUCUUUUGAAACAAAUGAUUUCCUUAAAUUUCUCGUUUAUA
This is a long non-coding RNA of Cucurbita moschata (crookneck pumpkin), 1902 nucleotides long. RefSeq lists it as uncharacterized. NCBI's taxonomy places the organism in Eukaryota, Viridiplantae, Streptophyta, Magnoliopsida, Cucurbitales, Cucurbitaceae. The record is from RefSeq and is a predicted model, not a curated record. The transcript is spliced from 4 exons.